Molecule: ribosomal RNA, 468 nt
Filed under: uncultured bacterium
Lineage: Bacteria
Description: partial 16S ribosomal RNA
Rfam family: Bacterial small subunit ribosomal RNA
Source: RNAcentral
GACGAACGCUGGCGGCGUGCUUAACACAUGCAAGUCGAACGGAAAGGCCCUGCUUUUGUGGGGUGCUCGAGUGGCGAACGGGUGAGUAACACGUGAGUAACCUGCCCUUGACUUUGGGAUAACUUCAGGAAACUGGGGCUAAUACCGGAUAGGAGCUCCUGCUGCAUGGUGGGGGUUGGAAAGUUUCGGCGGUUGGGGAUGGACUCGCGGCUUAUCAGCUUGUUGGUGGGGUAGUGGCUUACCAAGGCUUUGACGGGUAGCCGGCCUGAGAGGGUGACCGGCCACAUUGGGACUGAGAUACGGCCCAAACUCCUACGGGGGGCAGCAGUGGGGAAUAUUGCACAAUGGGCUGAAGCCUGAUGCAGCAACGCCGCGUGCGGGAUGACGGCCUUCGGGUUGUAAACCGCUUUCGCCUGUGACGAAGCGUGAGUGACGGUAAUGGGUAAAGAAGCACCGGCUAACUACGUG